This 223-nucleotide ribosomal RNA is filed under the name uncultured bacterium. Its description in RNAcentral is "partial 16S ribosomal RNA". It matches the Rfam family "Bacterial small subunit ribosomal RNA", at positions 15 to 219 of the family's 1533-position model. The record is from RNAcentral.
GAUCAUGGGCUCAGGAUGAACGCUGGCGGCGUGCCUAACACAUGCAAGUCGAGCGAAGCACUUUGCUUAGAUUCUUCGGAUGAAGAGGAUUGUGACUGAGCGGCGGACGGGUGAGUAACGCGUGGGUAACCUGCCUCAUACAGGGGGAUAACAGUUAGAAAUGACUGCUAAUACCGCAUAAGACCACAGCACCGCAUGGUGCGGGGGUAAAAACUCCGGUGGU